UAACAUAGUGGCGGACGGGUGAGUAACGCGUGAGAAUCUGCCUUCAGGACGGAGACAACAGUUGGAAACGACUGCUAAGCCCCGAUGAACCGAAAGGGAAAAUAUUUAUAGCCUGAAGAUGAGCUCGCGUCCGAUUAGCUAGUUGGGGGGGGUAAAGGCCCACCAAGGCGACGAUCGGUAGCUGGUCUGAGAGGACGAUCAGCCACACUGGGACUGAGACACGGCCCAG
This 229-nucleotide ribosomal RNA is filed under the name uncultured bacterium. Its description in RNAcentral is "partial 16S ribosomal RNA". It matches the Rfam family "Bacterial small subunit ribosomal RNA", at positions 88 to 334 of the family's 1533-position model. The record is from RNAcentral.